Molecule: ribosomal RNA, 484 nt
Filed under: uncultured bacterium
Lineage: Bacteria
Description: partial 16S ribosomal RNA
Rfam family: Bacterial small subunit ribosomal RNA
Source: RNAcentral
AUUGAACGCUGGCGGCAGGCCUAACACAUGCAAGUCGAGCGGAUGAAGGGAGCUUGCUCCUGGAUUCAGCGGCGGACGGGUGAGUAAUUCCUAGGAAUCUGCCUUGUAGUGGGGGAUAACGUCCGGAAACGGGCGCUAAUACCGCAUACGACCUGAGGUAGAAAGAGGGGGAUCUUCGGACCUCACGCUAUUAGAUGAGCCUAGGUCGGAUUAGCUAGUUGGUGGGGUAAAGGCCUACCAAGGCGACGAUCCGUAACUGGUCUGAGAGGAUGAUCAGUCACACUGGAACUGAGACACGGUCCAGACUCCUACGGGAGGCAGCAGUGGGGAAUAUUGGACAAUGGGCGAAAGCCUGAUCCAGCCAUGCCGCGUGUGUGAAGAAGGUCUUCGGAUUGUAAAGCACUUUAAGUUGGGAGGAAGGGCAGUAAGUUAAUACCUUGCUGUUUUGACGUUACCAACAGAAUAAGCACCGGCUAACUUCGUG